GGCAGCAGUGGGGAAUCUUGCGCAAUGCGCGAAAGCGUGACGCGGCAACGCCGCGUGGGGGAAGACGGCCUUCGGGUUGUAAACCCCUUUCAGGAGGGACGAAGUCCGGGCGGUUAAUAGCCGACUCGGAUGACGGUACCUCCAGAAGAAGCCCCGGCUAACUACGUGCCAGCAGCCGCGGUAAUACGUAGGGGGCAAGCGUUGUCCGGAAUCAUUGGGCGUAAAGAGCGUGUAGGCGGUCCGGUAAGUCGGCUGUGAAAGUCCAGGGCUCAACCCUGGGAUGCCGGUCGAUACUGCCGGACUAGAGUUCGGAAGAGGCGAGUGGAAUUCCCGGUGUAGCGGUGAAAUGCGCAGAUAUCGGGAGGAACACCUAUGGCGAAGGCAGCUCGCUGGGACGUUACUGACGCUGAGACGCGAAAGCGUGGGGAGCAAACAGGGUUAGAUACCCUGGUAGUCCACGCCGUAAACGAUGGGCACUAGGUGCGGGAGGUGUCGACUCCUCCCGUGCCGGAGCUAACGCAUUAAGUGCCCCGCCUGGGGAGUACGGCCGCAAGGCUAAAACUCAAAGGAAUUGACGGA
Molecule: ribosomal RNA, 579 nt
Filed under: uncultured bacterium
Lineage: Bacteria
Description: bacterial SSU rRNA
Rfam family: Bacterial small subunit ribosomal RNA
Source: RNAcentral